CCUACGGGAGGCAGCAGUGGGGAAUCUUGCACAAUGGGGGAAACCCUGAUGCAGCGACGCCGCGUGAGCGAUGAAGCCCUUCGGGGUGUAAAGCUCUUUCGGCAGGGAAGAUGAUGACGGUACCUGCAGAAGCAGCUGCGGCUAACUACGUGCCAGCAGCCGCGGUAAUACGUAGGCAGCAAGCGUUGUUCGGAGUUACUGGGCGUAAAGGGUGUGUAGGCGGUUUGGUAAGUCUGGUGUGAAAUCUCCCGGCUCAACCGGGAGGGUGCGCCGAAUACUGAGGGACUUGGAGUGCGGGAGAGGAAAGUGGAAUUCCUGGUGUAGCGGUGAAAUGCGUAGAUAUCAGGAGGAACACCGGUGGUGUAGACGGCUUUCUGGACCGUAACUGACGCUGAGACACGAAAGCGUGGGUAGCAAACAGGAUUAGAUACCCUGGUAGUCCACGCCCUAAACGAUGCAUAUUUGGUGUGGGUCAUUCAGUUGAUCCGUGCCGGAGCUAACGCGUUAAAUAUGCCGCCUGGGGAGUACAGUCGCAAGGCUGAAACUCAAAGGAAUUGACGG
Molecule: ribosomal RNA, 561 nt
Filed under: uncultured bacterium
Lineage: Bacteria
Description: bacterial SSU rRNA
Rfam family: Bacterial small subunit ribosomal RNA
Source: RNAcentral